This 4010-nucleotide long non-coding RNA is filed under the name Mytilus galloprovincialis (Mediterranean mussel). The record is from RNAcentral. Lineage: Eukaryota; Metazoa; Mollusca; Bivalvia; Mytilida; Mytilidae.
CAGACAUAUUUAGAGUAAAUCUUUGUGUAAUAAUUUUUUAUACUCAAGUAAUGAUAUUUUGUUGUAACAUAUCAUGGUGCUUAUAUAUUUAUAUCUGGUCACUUAUUUUUUUGUUAUUAUGAGUUUGUUUUACAUAUCUUGAAAUAGAAGACCUCCAAAGACCUCCAAACACCUCCAAACACCUCCAAACUGAUGUUGCUAGUUUUUUUUAUAUCAAUGAUAAGUAAUUAGAAGACAACUCAUAUAUACCAUAAACUGUUAAACUCACAAGAAUGUAUGAUGUCUGAUUUGUUCAUUUCUUUUUGUGUAAAGGAUUAUAAAAUUGGUUGUGAAUUAAAGAGGAACAUAUAUGUAUACUCUCUAACUAAGAAGAUACAUAUAGUCUAGAAAUAAAUGGGCACAUUAUUAUAUUGGGAGCAAUUAUAUUUUACUAUUACAGAACAAACUGUUGAACAGUGAUUUUUACAUGGUGUAUAUAUCUCAGUUUUGACCAUUCCAAAGGUUUUACACUUACUGUUAUGAAGAAAAAAAAUGGCAAAGUUUAUCUUGUCACUGUAUUACAGCUAAUUUCUUAAUGCUUGUAGAGUUAAACUUUAGUUGGCUUGCUUGCUUUGUUUGUAUCAAUGUUUAUUCAAGCUAUGUAAUUAAGAUUUAAGCUAACCAAAGUCUUGCUCUACAUGCAGUAGGAAAUUAUCUGUAAUGCUACAUUAUAACUAAACUCAUCAUCCAAGUACAAUAUUGUAAUUAGGAAAUUUUAUCAUCCCAAUUGUGAUAUGGCUGCAUUUGUUAUACCAAUUAAUUGAUCAUUUUAAUGUGAGCUGCAUUGGAUAGAAAUUGACCUUAUGCAAGUGAUGGUAUACAUGUACAUUUAUAAUUGAUUUUGGAAUAUUAGAAUACGAAGUAAAAGAAGAAUUUUGGAUGUUUUAUAAGGUUCUUUUUUAUUACCUCAACUUUAAAACAGUUACAGAAUUUCUGUAUUUUUUUCAAUAUAUGUUAACACAGUGGCAGAUUCAGAAAUUCUUAUAAGGGGGGCACACUGACUAACUCUGGUCAUGCUUCAGUGAUUCCCUAAAUAAUCGACCUAAUUUUUUCCACAGAAGGAAGGGGUGCCUCCUAGGAAAUCCUCUAAAUCUGCCUCUGUAUCAGAUAUUCAUUUUCCUAUACAGCUCAUGUAUCAUUGCAUUUAGGUAUAAAGUUUCAAAUGUCCAUGCAUUAUUGCAUUUAAGGUAAUUAUUGGCAACAUAUGCAUUAAGCUUGUAUAAUAAUUAACAAUUGUAAACAAGAUUAGAUAUGUGUAAAUACUGUUUGUAUAAAUUAUUGUUGUCAUUUAAUAUACUACUAUAUGUAUUGGACUAUCCUAUUUAUUUUACUUGUUUGUAAAAUUCUAAUGCUUGUUGGUAUAAAAAUGUAAACUUGAGGAGUUUUCUGCUUUACUCUAGAAAACAUCUUAAAUUUAAGAUUUUAAAAUUAUUCUUAUCAAUGUGAUCAGACUGGUUUACCUUAAAUUAAUCAACAUUUCAUCUUUCAAAAUAAUUACCUCGAUAUAGGUCCUGUUGCAAUGUUAAUUAUAUAACCUGUAAAGACAUGAUUUUUAACCUCAAAUAGAUAACUUUCGAGUUUGAUAUAUUCCUGUCAAAAACUUUGGCUUUUAGUGAACAUCAUUUGUGUGUUUAGGGGCAUUGUCACUUCUGUGCCCAUGUUGAGUAAGUGGUUCAUUGUACAAUUACUUCGGCAAAUCGAAUUUAGUCAAUAGUCCAUUACAUAUAGUAUACAUAUCUCUGUUGUUACAGUUUGUAAAACUACUUUCAUUUUCCCAUGUGUCAAAUGUUGUUUUACUUUUUGUUGCUGUUGUUAACAUUGUUUUUUUAUGAUCAUCCUUUUUUUUCCUUAACUUGCAAUAUAUGUAAUAUAAGUAUACAUGUCAUGUGAUUGAUCUAUGUCAUGUGAUAUGUGAUUGAUCUAAUGUCAUGUGAUAUGUGAUUUAUCUAAUGGCAUGUGAUAUGUGAUUGAUCUUAUGUCAUGUGAUGUGUGGUUGAUCUUUAUCAUAUGAUAUGUGAUUGAUCUAUGUCAUGUGAUAUGUGAUUGAUCUAAUGUCAUGUGUUAUGUGAUUGAUCUGAUGUCAUGUGAUGUGUGAUUGAUCUAUGUCAUGUGAUAUGUGAGUGAUCUAUGUCAUGUGAUAUGGUUUGAUCUGUAUCAUGUGAUAUGUGAUUGAUCUAAUGUCAUGUGAUAUGUGAUUGAUCUGUGUCAUUUGAUAUGUGGUUGAUCUACAUCACAUGAUAUGUGAUUGAUCUACAUCAUGUGAUAUGUGAUUGAUCUAAAUGUCAUGUGAUAUUUGAUUGAUCUCUGUCAUGUGGUGUUUUGUUGAUGCUUUUAGCCACGAUUUGUUCUGUUACGAUUAUCAUUCCUGGAUUAUGAUUGUACAUAUGAUAUUUGUAAAUUAUUAUGUUCCUAUAUGUUCAUGAUAAUGCUAAAAAUUGAUUAGUAAAUCCUUAAGUCUUAUUAGUCUAUCAAAUUCACCAAACUUCUUUUCAAAAUUGGAGCCUUGUCAUUGAAAUUGGCUACUUGGUUCUCUCUUUUAUUGAUAUCACUUUUAACAGGACUCGUGCAUAUUCCCAAUUUCCCAGGAUUUGUGAUAUUCAAUAUUAUUUUAUUUGAAAAUGUUAUUAAGUACGGUAUACCAAUUACUACUAGAAUAUAUCAGAGUUCUUGAAUAAGGCAUAUAUCAGCCCUUGGGCUGCUUAGUUCAGGGUUACAUUUGUAAAAUUCAGCAUAUUUUCAUUUAGUAUGUGAUAAAAACUCUAUAAAUAGAUAGAAAUUAAUGUUUCAACUAAUACAAUUAUGUGCAAUAUUGAAUAUUUUAACUUGAAUAUUUGAGAGGUGUUUGACCAAUCAAAUGUUUCUUCAUUUUUAUCAAAUCAAGUAUGAAAACAAAAAACUGACCAUUUUCAUUUUCUAUAAAUCAUGCAUCAUAGAACGUUUUAUAGAAUAUAAGAAUAUUUAUUGCUAAAUGUAAUCUAGCUUGAAUUAUACGUAUUUUAGCCAAUACAAUAAUAGCAAGAAAGAUUAUAACCCAGUUACACAGAAGCUUUUGUACACAUGCUAUUACACAUUUUGGUAUAAGAAUGUUUAACUUCAUUAUGUAUCCUUUAUUUACAACAGAAAUUCAAAUUCUUAUUCUUCUGUAAAAGUAGACGAAAUAAAUUACAAAAUAGUACUUUACUUUUCCUUGUUGUCGAAUAUAAAGAAAACUAUAUGUAUAUAUAUAUAUAUAUAUAUAAAACUCGUCUAUAAACAUCAACCCAACAAUGUUAGAUCUGUAAAUAUAUAUAUACAGGAGCUUGCAUCUAAAGACAUCUUUAAAACUAACUUUGAUACACUGGUAAAUGGCUGAUAACAUCCUAACAAAUAAAUUUUAAAAAUUUGUUACCACUACAAGUUCAAAUAUUAUGUUAGGUUUACACCAAUAAAAUGUGUUUGUUUGUAAAAGAUUGUCGCCCCUGUCAUGGCGGCGCCCAUGAAAAUUUCAAGCUGAAAGAAAUAAAAUGUGUUUGUUGUACUUACGCCUUUUUGUCAAGGUUUUUCAAAGGUACUAUCACAUUGUGAUGCCAUGCAAAUCCCUACCCUUACAGUAAAUGGUUAUUUGACAUUCCACUUUGCGUACCAUGUAUUUGUAUAUUACUAUAAUUUGCUAUUACAUAUCAGAUGUUUAACUAUUGCCUUUGUGCUUACAUCAAGCUGAUGAGUUCAAAAACUGCAAUUUUUUAUCAUAGAACAAUUAAAAUUUUGUCAUUCAUUUGAAGUAAUAUUAGCAGUACCAUAUUUACUGCAGUAAAUGUUUAUUUUGAGCCUAAUUUCAUACUCUUUUGAUAUCUAGAUAUUAAAAUUUCAUUCAAAACCUGCAGUAGAAACUUAUUUCACUAUUUUCAUCUCAACUGUAAAUUGUUAUUUUGCUCUAUUUAUGAAACAUAUGUGAAUUUUCAUUUCAAUUUUGCAAUAAAAUAUUAUACUUA